UAACUUUUUCCUAAGUCAAACCUCUCUAAUUUUGACCAAGUUUUUAGACAAUACAUUAACAGCUACACGCUCAAAUAAAUGCACUAUCAAGACAUUUCAUGGAGAAUUUUAACGAAACUAAUUUGAUGUUGUAGAUGUUGGUCCAUUUUUCUAUAAACAUAGUUAAAGUUAGAGAAGUUUGAGUUAGGAAAAAGCUAA
This 198-nucleotide microRNA precursor is filed under the name Sorghum bicolor (sorghum). RNAcentral's name for it is "MIR1435 microRNA precursor family". It matches the Rfam family "MIR1435 microRNA precursor family". Lineage: Eukaryota; Viridiplantae; Streptophyta; Magnoliopsida; Poales; Poaceae. The record is from Rfam by way of RNAcentral.